UAAUUGAAGAGUUUGAUCAUGGCUCAGAUUGAACGCUGGCGGCAGGCCUAACACAUGCAAGUCGAACGGUAACAGAGAGCAGCUUGCUGCUCUGCUGACGAGUGGCGGACGGGUGAGUAAUGUCUGGGAAACUGCCUGAUGGAGGGGGAUAACUACUGGAAACGGUAGCUAAUACCGCAUAACGUCUUCGGACCAAAGUGGGGGACCUUCGGGCCUCAUGCCAUCAGAUGUGCCCAGAUGGGAUUAGCUAGUAGGUGGGGUAAAGGCUCACCUAGGCGACGAUCCCUAGCUGGUCUGAGAGGAUGACCAGCCACACUGGAACUGAGACACGGUCCAGACUCCUACGGGAGGCAGCAGUGGGGAAUAUUGCACAAUGGGCGCAAGCCUGAUGCAGCCAUGCCGCGUGUAUGAAGAAGGCCUUCGGGUUGUAAAGU
Molecule: ribosomal RNA, 434 nt
Filed under: Cronobacter turicensis
Lineage: Bacteria; Pseudomonadati; Pseudomonadota; Gammaproteobacteria; Enterobacterales; Enterobacteriaceae
Description: bacterial SSU rRNA
Rfam family: Bacterial small subunit ribosomal RNA
Source: RNAcentral